This 20-nucleotide ribosomal RNA is filed under the name Gambierdiscus sp. M-3. Its description in RNAcentral is "partial 18S rRNA". The record is from RNAcentral. Lineage: Eukaryota; Dinophyceae; Gonyaulacales; Pyrocystaceae.
AACCUGGCAGAGGUGCUUGU